GGUUCCAUAGUAUAAUUGGAUAGUACAUCCGCCUCCUAAGCGGCUGACCCCGGUUCGACCCCGGGUGGAACCA
Molecule: transfer RNA, 73 nt
Filed under: Limosilactobacillus ingluviei
Lineage: Bacteria; Bacillati; Bacillota; Bacilli; Lactobacillales; Lactobacillaceae
Description: tRNA-Arg
Rfam family: tRNA
About the family: Transfer RNA (tRNA) molecules are approximately 80 nucleotides in length. Their secondary structure includes four short double-helical elements and three loops (D, anti-codon, and T loops).
Source: RNAcentral